This 440-nucleotide ribosomal RNA is filed under the name uncultured bacterium. RNAcentral describes it as "partial 16S ribosomal RNA". It matches the Rfam family "Bacterial small subunit ribosomal RNA", at positions 338 to 795 of the family's 1533-position model. The record is from RNAcentral.
CCUACGGGAGGCAGCAGUGGGGAAUAUUGCACAAUGGGGGAAACCCUGAUGCAGCGACGCCGCGUGAGUGAAGAAGUAUUUCGGUAUGUAAAGCUCUAUCAGCAGGGAAGAAAAUGACGGUACCUGAUUAAGAAGCCCCGGCUAACUACGUGCCAGCAGCCGCGGUCAUACGAAGGGGGCAAGCUGUAUCCGGAUUUACUGGGGGUAAAGGGAGCGUAGACUGCAGCACAAGUCUGGAGUGAAAUGCCGGGGCUUAACCCCGGAACUGCUUUGGAAACUGUGCAGCUAGAGUGCAGGAGAGGUAAGUGGAAUUCCUAGUGUAGCGGUGAAAUGCGUAGAUAUUAGGAAGAACACCAGUGGCGAAGGCGGCUUACUGGACUGUAACUGACGUUGAGGCUCGAAAGCGUGGGGAGCAAACAGGAUUAGAUACCCCAGUAGUC